CGGGUGCACUGAUCCGGCCGGGCCUUUCUCUCUGUGGAACCCCAUGGCCUUCACUGGCUGUGCGGGGGAAACAGGACUUUUACUGUGAAAAAAUUAGAGUGCUCCAGGCAGGCCUAUGCUCGAAUACAUUAGCAUGGAAUAAUAGAAUAGGACGCGUGGUUCUAUUUUGUUGGUUUCUAGGACCGCCGUAAUGAUUAAUAGGGACAGUCGGGGGCAUCAGUAUUCAAUUGUCAGAGGUGAAAUUCUUGGAUCUAUUGAAGACUAACUACUGCGAAAGCAUUUGCCAAGGAUGUUUUCAUUGAUAAGGAACGAAAGUUAGGGGAUCGAAGACGAUCAGAUACCGUCGUAGUCUUAACUAUAAACUAUGCCGACUAGGGAUCGGACGAUGUUAUUUCUUGACGCGUUCGGCACCUUUCGAGAAAUCAAAGUGCUUGGGCUCCAGGGGGAGUAUGGUCGCAAGGCUGAAACUUAAAGAAAUUGACGGAAGGGCACCACCAGGGGCGGAACCUGCGGCUUAAUUUGACUCAACACGGGGAAACUCACCAGGUCCAGACACAGUGAGGAUUGACAGAUUGAGAGCUCUUUCUUGAUUCUGUGGGUGGUGGUGCAUGGCCGUUCUUAGUUGGUGGAGUGAUUUGUCUGCUUAAUUGCGAUAACGAACGAGACCUUAACCUGCUAAAUAGCCCGUACUGCUCUGGCAGUUCGCCGGCUUCUUAGAGGGACUAUCGG
This 729-nucleotide ribosomal RNA is filed under the name uncultured eukaryote. RNAcentral's name for it is "SSU rRNA". It matches the Rfam family "Eukaryotic small subunit ribosomal RNA", at positions 670 to 1426 of the family's 1831-position model. The record is from RNAcentral.